CCUACGGGAGGCAGCAGUGGGGAAUAUUGCACAAUGGGGGAAACCCUGAUGCAGCGACGCCGCGUGAGCGAUGAAGUAUUUCGGUAUGGAAAGCUCUAUCAGCAGGGAAGAAAAUGACGGUACCUGACUAAGAAGCCCCGGCUAACUACGUGCCAGCAGCCGCGGUACUACGUAGGGGGCAAGCGUAAUCCGGAUUUACUGGAGGUACAGGGAGCGUAGACGGUCCUGCAAGCCAGAUGUGGGAGCCCGGGGCUCAACCCCGGGACUGCAUUUGGAACUGUAAGGCUAGAGUGUCGGAGAGGCAGGCGGAAUUCCUAGUGUAGCGGUGAAAUGCGGAGAUAUUAGGAGGAACACCAGUGGCGAAGGCGGCCUGCUGGACGAUGACUGACGUUGAGGCUCGAAAGCGUGGGGAGCAAACAGGAUUAGAUACCCCAGUAGUC
This 440-nucleotide ribosomal RNA is filed under the name uncultured bacterium. Its description in RNAcentral is "partial 16S ribosomal RNA". It matches the Rfam family "Bacterial small subunit ribosomal RNA", at positions 338 to 795 of the family's 1533-position model. The record is from RNAcentral.